CACAGCUGUGGCCCAGCAGGCCCGGCCUGGGCCGCGGCGUUUCCCAGGGCCCGCAACCCACGGAAGGGACUCUCCUGAGUUUGUCAUCGCGUCAGAGUGGAGAAAGUUAAUUGCUUUCUGGGCAGAUGUCUAUCACCACCUUCCUCUGAAUGGAGUCCAAACAAUCCGCUCAUAUAUCACAGGUUGGGAGCACCCUGCCUCCAGUUUUUUGGACAGCAGUUAAAGAGACAAAGAAAAUGAAGGUCUAGAAGAAAUCCUCAAAAAAAGAAUCGCCACUUGUAGCUUUGAGCACCACACAAGCUACAAGAUUUGUAGUCACCUCAUGCAAAGUGGCCAUCACAAAGCACAGGCUGGAUCUGGCCCGUUAGAUUAGAAUGGCAUCUUUAAUUAUUGCCAUGAAAGACAUGGCAUGGUUUAAAAAUCCGUUUGAUAUAUUCUUAGGGUACACGUAUCCCCUGUAUGUCAGACUAGUCAGAAAAGGCAGCAAGCGCUUUCAGUCCUCAUGACUACACUUCCUAUCCCUAAUGUGGGGAUAAAGGAAAUGAAAGUCAAUGAAAUCAAUAUGAAGAAGUGUCAUUGUUAAAUAUUUACAUUGCUCUCC
This is a long non-coding RNA of Catharus ustulatus (Swainson's thrush), 601 nucleotides long. RefSeq lists it as uncharacterized. Lineage: Eukaryota; Metazoa; Chordata; Aves; Passeriformes; Turdidae. The transcript is spliced from 3 exons. The record is from RefSeq and is a predicted model, not a curated record.